This 21-nucleotide non-coding RNA is filed under the name Arabidopsis thaliana (thale cress). Lineage: Eukaryota; Viridiplantae; Streptophyta; Magnoliopsida; Brassicales; Brassicaceae. The record is from RNAcentral.
UAAAGGGCGCACAAACUAUGU